GACGAACGCUGGCGGCGUGCUUAACACAUGCAAGUCGAGCGGUAAGGCCCUUUUUGGGGGGUACACGAGCGGCGAACGGGUGAGUAACACGUGGGUGACCUGCCCUCAGCUCUGGGAUAAGCCUGGGAAACUGGGUCUAAUACUGGAUAUGACCUUUCCUCGCAUGGGGGUUGGGUGGAAAGUUUUUCGGCUGGGGAUGGGCCCGCGGCCUAUCAGCUUGUUGGUGGGGUGAUGGCCUACCAAGGCGACGACGGGUAGCCGCCUGAGAGGGCGACCGGCCACACUGGGACUGAGACACGGCCCAGACUCCUACGGGAGGCAGCAGGUGGGGAAUAUUGCGCAAUGGGCGGAAGCCUGACGCAGCGACGCCGCGUGGGGAUGACG
This 384-nucleotide ribosomal RNA is filed under the name uncultured bacterium. RNAcentral's name for it is "bacterial SSU rRNA". It matches the Rfam family "Bacterial small subunit ribosomal RNA", at positions 28 to 413 of the family's 1533-position model. The record is from RNAcentral.